AUGAUGUUGUCCAGAAUGCGAUUAGAAAGAGGAGAAUCCACCGGAAGAAAACACGGACGUGGAGGAAAAGCACCGUCACAACUCGCGGCGGACAAAGGGAGUUAUACCGCAAAAACUUGCGGUGGAAGGAGCAAGAGAACAGACGCACGGAGGCGAACCGGUGGGGAGACUAGACGGGAGUUGCAUGGGAAUGUGAGAGGAGGAGUUUCAAACUUAUUCCAUUUUUUUGUUGAUUUGUGA
Molecule: non-coding RNA, 240 nt
Organism: Vicia faba (fava bean)
Lineage: Eukaryota; Viridiplantae; Streptophyta; Magnoliopsida; Fabales; Fabaceae
Source: the annotation of a GenBank genome assembly